Biomphalaria pfeifferi is the source of this 515-nucleotide non-coding RNA. The record is from the annotation of a GenBank genome assembly. NCBI's taxonomy places the organism in Eukaryota, Metazoa, Mollusca, Gastropoda, Planorbidae.
GUUGUUAUUGUGUUCUAUGUAGUGUAUGUUUAGUGCGUCAAGUACAUAAUACUCUUUUAUAGUGUUAUGAUAAACAUUAAAUAUCAUCUGAGUAAAAUGUCUUGGCUAUAAUAUAUUAUUUUUUUGUGUAAAAACAAGAGAAACUUUACUCUCGACUUUUUUUGUGCUAAUGAUUUUCUAAAUGAUUAGAAUUUUUUUUUCUUUGAAUCAAACCUUCCAAACCUGGACUUUAACAUCAAUAUUCAAAGGAUGUUCAUUCCAAUCAGGAGAAUUGGUUCAUCAUGCACUCGAUAUUUUUUUAGUUUGCAAUGUGUCAGACAAUGUUAGGAUGUGUGUGUGUGGCACUGUGUGGUGAGUCUGUGUGUGUGUGACAAUACAGAGAAAAUAUAUUUUUUGGAAAUCUUUAAAUUAAGACUUACGAGAAUGUGUCUGCUAUAGAAAAAUAUCAUUAUAUAUACACAAUGUACUAUCUAAACAGACAAAAAUACAAUUGUUCAAUAAAUUCCUAACUACAA